This 237-nucleotide long non-coding RNA is filed under the name Elaeis guineensis (African oil palm). RNAcentral describes it as "long non-coding RNA (EGUI_LNC043939)". The record is from RNAcentral. Lineage: Eukaryota; Viridiplantae; Streptophyta; Magnoliopsida; Arecales; Arecaceae.
GCUGUGAAGACUCCCUACUAGGUGUCUCUAAUGAGAGGAAAUCAAAUUUUCUCUCUUCCCUUCCUUUCCUUCUAAAGAUUGAUGCAAAGUGAUCAUCUCUCUUCUCUACAGAGCCUGACAUGCGUAUGAAGUAGAGGAUAUGUAUGUUCAGACCUUGUGAGGCUUUGAAUUCAAAAAAUUCUCAAUAUUUGAUCUCUAUUCUACUAUAACUAAGAUAAAUAUAAAUAUUAUAUUAUU